UCAAGUUAUUAAGGGUGCAGGGCGGAUGCCUUGGCACUAGGAGCCGAUGAAGGACGUGAUAAGCUGCGAUAAGCUUCGGGGAGUUGCACGUAAACUUUGAUCCGAAGAUUUCCGAAUGAGGAAACUCACUUAGAGUAAUGUCUAAGUAUCAUUAAGUGAAUACAUAGCUUAAUGAGGGGAACUCAGGGAACUGAAACAUCUAAGUACCUGAAGGAAGAGAAAGAAAUUCGAUUCCGUAAGUAGCGGCGAGCGAACGCGGAUUAGCCCAAACCAAUAAAGUUUUCUUUAUUGGGGUUGAGGACAUACCACAUAUAAGAGGUCAUUAUAGACGAAGAAGUUUGGAAAAACUCAUCAUAGAAGGUAAUAAUCCUGUAGUCAAAAUAAUAAUUCUUUAGGUAUGAUCCAGAGUACCACGGGACACGUGAAACCCUGUGGGAAGCAGGAGGGACCACCCUCCAAGGCUAAAUACUACCUAGUGACCGAUAGCGUAUAGUACCGUGAGGGAAAGGUGAAAAGAACCCCGGGAGGGGAGUGAAAUAGAACCUGAAACCCUGCACUUACAAGCUGUGGAAGCACAUUUCUUGUGUGACCGCGUACUUUUUGUAGAACGGGCCAACGAGUUACGUUAAGUAGCAAGGUUAAGCACUUAAGGUGCGGAGCCGUAGCGAAAGCGAGUUUUAACUGAGCGUUCAGUUACUUGACGUAGACCCGAAACCGGGCGACCUACCCAUGAGCAGGACGAAGCGAAAGUAAAAUUUCGUGGAGGUCCGAACCCACGAGCGUUGAAAAGCUCGGGGAUGACUUGUGGGUAGCGGUGAAAUUCCAAUCGAGCCCGGAGAUAGCUGGUUCUCCCCGAAAUAGCUUUAGGGCUAGCCUCAAGGUGAGAGAUACGGAGGUAGAGCACUGAAUGUCCUAGGGGGUAUUGCACCUACCGAAGACUAUCAAACUCCGAAUGCCGUCAUCUUAUACUUGGGAGUCAGACUGUGGGUGAUAAGAUUCAUAGUCGAAAGGGCAACAGCCCAGAUCGUCAGCUAAGGUCCCUAAAUGUAAGUUAAGUGGUAAAGGAUGUGGGAUUGCACAGACAACCAGGAUGUUGGCUUAGAAGCAGCCACUCAUUCAAAGAGUGCGUAAUAGCUCACUGGUCGAGUGAUCCUGCGCCGAAGAUUUCCGGGGCUAAAACUUACUACCGAAGCUACGGCAUCAUUAUGAUGGGUAGGGGAGCUUCCCAUACGGGUUGAAGCAUGACCGUAAGGACAUGUGGACAGUAUGGGAGUGAGAAUGUUGGCAUGAGUAGCGAGAUGUGGGUGAGAAUCCCACAGGCCGUAAACCCAAGGUUUCCAGGGGAAGGUUCGUCCGCCCUGGGUUAGUCGGGACCUAAGCUGAGGCCGAAAGGCGUAGGUGAUGGACAACAGGUUGAUAUUCCUGUACUACCGAUAACCGUUUGAGAGAAGGGAUGACACAGUAGGAUAAGCUAAGCACACUGUUGGUUAUGUGUGCCCAAGCAUUGAGGCAGUCAAAGCAGGCAAAUCCGCUUUGAUAAUGCUGGGAUGUGAUGGGGAGCGAAAUUUAGUAGCGAAGUAGCUGAUUUCACACUGUCAAGAAAAGUCUCUAUCGAGGUUAAAGGUACCCGUACCGCAAACCGACACAGGUGGGUGAGGAGAGUAUCCUAAGGCCAGCGAGAGAACUGUUGUUAAGGAACUCGGCAAAAUGACCCCGUAACUUAGGGAUAAGGGGUGCCACCAUCAGGUGGCCGCAGAGAAUAGGCCCAAGCGACUGUUUACCAAAAACAUAGGUUUCUGCUAAGUCGCAAGACGAUGUAUAGGAGCUGACGCCUGCCCGGUGCUGGAAGGUUAAGGGGAUCUGUUAGAGCAAUCGAAGCAGUGAACUUAAGCCCCAGUAAACGGCGGCCGUAACUAUAACGGUCCUAAGGUAGCGAAAUUCCUUGUCGGGUAAGUUCCGACCCGCACGAAAGGCGUAACGAUUUGGGCACUGUCUCAACAACAGACUCGGUGAAAUUGUAAUUCCGGUGAAGAUGCCGGAUACCUGCGACAGGACGGAAAGACCCCAUGGAGCUUUACUGUAGCUUGACAUUGGGUCUUGGUACUACAUGUACAGGAUAGGUGGGAGGCUUUGAAACCAGGACGCCAGUUUUGGCGGAGCCAUCCUUGGGAUACCACCCUUGUAGUACUGGGACUCUAACCAUAGGCCAUGAAUCUGGUCUUGGGACACUGUCAGGUGGGCAGUUUGACUGGGGCGGUCGCCUCCCAAAAGGUAACGGAGGCGCUCAAAGGUUCUCUCAGUACGGUCGGAAAUCGUACGUAGAGUGUAAAGGCAAAAGAGAGCUUGAUUGCAAGACAUACAGGUCGAGCAAGGAUGAAAAUCGGACUUAGUGAUCCGGUGGUUCUGCGUGGAAGGGCCAUCGCUCAACGGAUAAAAGCUACCCUGGGGAUAACAGGCUUAUCUCCCCCAAGAGUCCACAUCGACGGGGAGGUUUGGCACCUCGAUGUCGGCUCAUCACAUCCUGGGGCUGUAGUAGGUCCCAAGGGUUGGGCUGUUCGCCCAUUAAAGUGGUACGCGAGCUGGGUUCAGAACGUCGUGAGACAGUUCGGUCCCUAUCCGUCGCAGGCGUAGGAAAUUUGAGAAGACCUGUCCUUAGUACGAGAGGACCGGGAUGGACGUACCUCUGGUGUACCAGUUGUCCUGCCAAGGGCAUGGCUGGGUAGCUAUGUACGGAAUGGAUAAGCGCUGAAAGCAUCUAAGCGCGAAGCCAACUUCAAGAUAAGAUUUCCCACCGCAAGGGUAAGACCCCAGAAAGACUAUCUGGUUGAUAGGUCGAAGGUGUAAGUGCAGCAA
This 2853-nucleotide ribosomal RNA is filed under the name Clostridioides difficile. RNAcentral describes it as "bacterial LSU rRNA". It matches the Rfam family "Bacterial large subunit ribosomal RNA". Lineage: Bacteria; Bacillati; Bacillota; Clostridia; Peptostreptococcales; Peptostreptococcaceae. The record is from RNAcentral.